This 64-nucleotide transfer RNA is filed under the name Oscaecilia ochrocephala. Its description in RNAcentral is "tRNA-Cys". It matches the Rfam family "tRNA". From Rfam's summary of the family: Transfer RNA (tRNA) molecules are approximately 80 nucleotides in length. Their secondary structure includes four short double-helical elements and three loops (D, anti-codon, and T loops). Lineage: Eukaryota; Metazoa; Chordata; Amphibia; Gymnophiona; Caeciliidae. The record is from RNAcentral.
AGCCAUGUAGUGUAAAACACGUAAGAUUGCAAAUCUUAAAAUGGAGAGAGAUCUCCCGGGGCUU